Molecule: ribosomal RNA, 253 nt
Filed under: uncultured prokaryote
Description: partial 16S ribosomal RNA
Rfam family: Bacterial small subunit ribosomal RNA
Source: RNAcentral
ACGGAGGGGGCUAGCGUUGUUCGGAAUCAUUGGGCGUAAAGGGCGCGUAGGCGGCCGAUCAAGUCGGAGGUGAAAUCCCUCGGCUCAACUGAGGAAUUGCCUUCGAUACUGUUCGGCUUGAGUCCUGGAGAGGGUAGCGGAAUUCCCGGUGUAGCGGUGAAAUGCGUAGAGACCGGGAAGAACACCAGUGGCGAAGGCGGCUACCUGGACAGGUACUGACGCUGAAGCGCGAAAGCUAGGGGAGCAAACAGGA